This 770-nucleotide long non-coding RNA is filed under the name Pan troglodytes (chimpanzee). RNAcentral describes it as "long non-coding RNA NONPTRT004435". The record is from RNAcentral. Lineage: Eukaryota; Metazoa; Chordata; Mammalia; Primates; Hominidae.
GUCCUGAAGGCAGGAUCCUGAAGAUCAGGCACCACCUGACAGGGAUGGCUAUAGCAUUACAGCCCCACUCAUGGGUGGCCCUGAAGGACACUGGGGAAAGGAAUCUUCCCAGUGGGCAGAACAUCUAGCAGGACAUUGGUUGUCUAACUUAAAUGGAAGAAGAAGUCAGAGGUGCACACCUAUACUGAUUCAUAGUCACUGGACAAUGAUUUGGCCAGAUGGUCAGAGACAUGCUAGAAACAAGAUCAGAGAAUUAGAGACAAGGAAGUUUGCGCAAGAGAUAUAUGGCCAAACCUCUUAGAAUGCACAGCGUGAGAUAAAUUGAUAUCUUACAUGAAUGUUUGCCAGAGGGAGCCCAUGGUAGAAGAGGAUCUCACUAACCAAAUGGACAACAUGACUCACUGUGUAGAUCUCAGUGAACUACAUCUGAGGAGUUUGUGUACAAUGUGGUCAUGGUGGCAGGGCUGGAGAUUAGGCAUCCAUGGAUAUUGCCACUGUGCUGAUCUGACUACCACUACCACUGCAGAGUAUCCAACUUGCUAACUACCAUUUAGCACCAUGCCCUGAAGGGACCAGCCAAUCUUCUAGUGGCUCACUGAUUGCACUCGACUCCUUACAUCAUGGAGAGGGCAGUAAUUUAUCCUCUUUGAAGUAGACAUUCUGAAUAUAGAUUUGCCUUUCCUGUCCACCAUGCAUCUAGCAUCUCCAUCCAUGGAUAUUUUUUGUGUCUUAUUCACCAUCACGUUAUUCCUUACAAUGUUGCAUCUGGC